CAGAUGACUCCGAAGUUUGCAUCCUAAUUAGGUUGGUGCAAAAGUAAUUGUGGAUUUUGCCAUUAAAAGUAAUGGCAAAAACAGCAAUUAUUUUUGUACCAGACUAGUAUCUUUUCUCCUUCUACACAACUUUGUCCCUGAGACAUCUCA
Molecule: microRNA precursor, 150 nt
Filed under: Pan troglodytes (chimpanzee)
Lineage: Eukaryota; Metazoa; Chordata; Mammalia; Primates; Hominidae
Description: miRNA (ENSPTRG00000047124.1)
Source: RNAcentral